RNAcentral lists this ribosomal RNA (409 nucleotides) under uncultured bacterium. Its description in RNAcentral is "bacterial SSU rRNA". It matches the Rfam family "Bacterial small subunit ribosomal RNA", at positions 357 to 776 of the family's 1533-position model. The record is from RNAcentral.
GGGAAUAUUGCACAAUGGGCGCAAGCCUGAUGCAGCGACGCCGCGUGGGGGAUGACGGCCUUCGGGUUGUAAACUCCUUUCGCUAGGGACGAAGCUUUUUGUGACGGUACCUAGAUACGAAGCACCGGCUAACUACGUGCCCGCAGCCGCGGUAAUACGUAGGGUGCGAGCGUUGUCCGGAAUUACUGGGCGUAAAGGGCUCGUAGGUGGUUUGUCGCGUCGUCUGUGAAAUUCCGGGGCUUAACUCCGGGCGUGCAGGCGAUACGGGCAUAACUUGAGUACUGUAGGGGUAACUGGAAUUCCUGGUGUAGCGGUGAAAUGCGCAGAUAUCAGGAGGAACACCGAUGGCGAAGGCAGGUUACUGGGCAGUUACUGACGCUGAGGAGCGAAAGCAUGGGUAGCGAACAGG